CUAACUGUCGAAAACAAUCAACAAUUCAACCCCAUUUGCAGUGUAAAAAUGGCAAAGAAUACAAAUAUGAAUACAAGUGUUUUGGAGAUUUGAUACCUGGUUCUGGGCAUUCGUGGCUGCUCCUAUGCUGUCGCCGGUGUCUGAUAAGGUGAAUAUUCCAAUCGGCGCAGCAUUACAGAACACAUAACCGACCAUUUCCAUCGGGCAUAAUCAACAAGUGCAGAUGCCAUUGGAUGACUUGACUUGCUCUCAAUGCUUGCAACCCUGAAAGUAAAGAAGUUUGUCGAUAGUAAUGGAGUUGCUGAUUGGGAUGAACUUCAAGAUAGUGAACUCUCCCCUUGUGAUAGUACCUGUUUUGUCAAAAGCUGCAACUUUAAUACCGGCCAGUGCUUCAAGAACAUCG
This is a long non-coding RNA of Dioscorea cayenensis subsp. rotundata (Guinea yam), 403 nucleotides long. RefSeq lists it as uncharacterized. The transcript has 4 exons. NCBI's taxonomy places the organism in Eukaryota, Viridiplantae, Streptophyta, Magnoliopsida, Dioscoreales, Dioscoreaceae. The record is from RefSeq and is a predicted model, not a curated record.